RNAcentral lists this microRNA precursor (121 nucleotides) under Tupaia belangeri (northern tree shrew). RNAcentral's name for it is "miRNA (ENSTBEG00000020079.1)". The record is from RNAcentral. Lineage: Eukaryota; Metazoa; Chordata; Mammalia; Scandentia; Tupaiidae.
AAACUGGUUAAUACUACGGAUACCUGGGUCUCCCUCCAAAGAUGCAGAUUCGCUAGGUCUAAGGUUGAGCCCAGGAAUCUGCAUUUUGAACAUGUGAACCAGGUGAUUCUGAAUAAAUGGG